UACGGGGGGGGCAAGCGUUGUUCGGAAUUACUGGGCGUAAAGGGCUCGUAGGCGGCCAACUAAGUCAGACGUGAAAUCCCUAGGCUCAACCUAGGAACUGCGUCUGAUACUGGAUGGCUUGAGAUUGGGAGAGGGAUGCGGAAUUCCAGGUGUAGCGGUGAAAUGCGUAGAUAUCUGGAGGAACACCGGUGGCGAAGGCGGCAUCCUGGACCAACACUGACGCUGAGGAGCGAAAGCCAGGGGAGCAAACGGG
Molecule: ribosomal RNA, 253 nt
Filed under: uncultured bacterium
Lineage: Bacteria
Description: partial 16S ribosomal RNA
Rfam family: Bacterial small subunit ribosomal RNA
Source: RNAcentral